ACGGCUCAGUAACACGUGGAUAACCUGCCCUUGGGUCUGGGAUAACCCCGGGAAACUGGGGAUAAUACCGGAUAACGCAUAUAUGCUGGAAUGCUUUAUGCGUAAAAUGGAUUCGUCUGCCCAAGGAUGGGUCUGCGGCCUAUCAGGUAGUAGUGGGUGUAAUGUACCUACUAGCCUACAACGGGUACGGGUUGUGAGAGCAAGAGCCCGGAGAUGGAUUCUGAGACAUGAAUCCAGGCCCUACGGGGUGCAGCAGGCGCGAAAACUUUACAAUGCGGGAAACCGUGAUAAGGGGACACCGAGUGCCAGCAUCAUAUGCUGGCUGUCCAGAUGUGUAAAAUACAUCUGUUAGCAAGGGCCGGGCAAGACCGGCGCCAGCCGCCGCGGUAACACCGGCGGCCCGAGUGGUGAUCGCGAUUAUUGGGUCUAAAGGGUCCGUAGCCGGUUUGGUCAGUCCUCCGGGAAAUCUGAUGGCUCAACCAUUAGGCUUUCGGGGGAUACUGCCAGGCUUGGAACCGGGAGAGGUAAGAGGUACUACAGGGGUAGGAGUGAAAUCUUGUGAUCCCUGUGAGACCACCUGUGGCGAAGGCGUCUUACCAGAACGGGUUCGACGGUGAGGGACGAAAGCUGGGGGCACGAACCGGAUUAGAUACCCGGGUAGUCCUGGCCGUAAACGAUGUGGACUCGGUGUUGGGAUGGCUCCGAGCUGCCCCAGUGCCGAAGGGAAGCUGUUAAGUCCACCGCCUGGGAAGUACGGUCGCAAGACUGAAACUUAAAGGAAUUGGCGGGGGAG
Molecule: ribosomal RNA, 793 nt
Filed under: uncultured archaeon
Lineage: Archaea
Description: bacterial SSU rRNA
Rfam family: Archaeal small subunit ribosomal RNA
Source: RNAcentral